This 626-nucleotide ribosomal RNA is filed under the name Thermomyces lanuginosus. RNAcentral describes it as "eukaryotic LSU rRNA". The stretch from base 240 to 393 matches the Rfam family "5.8S ribosomal RNA". RNAcentral also lists the same sequence under 1 other name. The record is from RNAcentral. Lineage: Eukaryota; Fungi; Ascomycota; Eurotiomycetes; Eurotiales; Trichocomaceae.
UCCGUAGGUGAACCUGCGGAAGGAUCAUUACCGAGUGCGGGAACCCAGUCGGGUCCCAAUCUCCCACCCGUGUCUACCACACCUAGUGUUGCUUUGGCGGGCCCACUCCUCCGGUGUUCCGCCGGGGGGGUCGUCCCGGGGCGCGGUGUGCCCCCGGGGCCCGUGCCCGCCAGAGGCACUCACUGUGAACGCUUUUGUGAAUGCGAGGAUUGUCUGAGUGACGAAAUGCAAUCGUUCAAAACUUUCAACAAUGGAUCUCUUGGUUCCGGCAUCGAUGAAGAACGCAGCGAAAUGCGAUAAGUAAUGUGAAUUGCAGAAUUCCGUGAAUCAUCGAAUCUUUGAACGCACAUUGCGCCCUCUGGUAUUCCGGGGGGCAUGCCUGUCCGAGCGUCAUUGCGAACCCUCAAGCACGGCUUGUGUGUUGGGCCGCCGUCCCCUCGUUUGGAGGGGACGGGCCUGAAAGGCAGCGGCGGCGUCGCGUCCGGUCCUCGAGCGUAUGGGGCUCUGUCACGCGCUCAAGGAGGGGUCCGGCCGGGGCCAUAGCCUCUGAAGGUCAAUUCUUCCAAGGUUGACCUCGGAUCAGGUAGGAGUACCCGCUGAACUUAAGCAUAUCAAUAAGCGGAGGA